RNAcentral lists this long non-coding RNA (211 nucleotides) under Panax ginseng (ginseng). RNAcentral's name for it is "long non-coding RNA (PGIN_LNC004429)". The record is from RNAcentral. Lineage: Eukaryota; Viridiplantae; Streptophyta; Magnoliopsida; Apiales; Araliaceae.
AUACCCUUUGAUAUACCCUAAGGGUCUUAAGAAAUAAGUCAAAGUAUAACUCAUCAUACACAAGAUAUUAUGAUGAUCUCAAGUCCAAGGAUCACUUGUACUACUAUCACUACAGGAAUUCCUAUUGACAGACAAGUAAAACUCCAUUAGGUAUUCCUUAGCGAGCCACGUUCAGUGAACUUAUUCUCUAAUAAGCACCUACAUACUUGCU